UUAUUGCAAUCAGUUAUCAUGCCAAAUACUUGGAUCUGUGAUCCAGCUAUUUCACUUGAAUAUACAGAAAGAGUUAAGAGCUUUAUUAAUUAAAUAAGAUGUACCCAAGUUAUUCUGAAAUUUAAUGAAAUACAGCUGUUACUGUGAUGCAUGGUAAUUAGCUCUAAGUCACAGGAAAUUUGUAAAAGACUGUCACUGUGUCAACAUUAAUUUUUACACAAUUGAAUCCAAUUUUUAAAAAC
RNAcentral lists this long non-coding RNA (242 nucleotides) under Bos taurus (domestic cattle). RNAcentral's name for it is "long non-coding RNA NONBTAT025462". The record is from RNAcentral. Lineage: Eukaryota; Metazoa; Chordata; Mammalia; Artiodactyla; Bovidae.